UGGGUUGUGGCUCAGUGGUAGAGCACUCGCCUGACACGUGUGAAGCACUGGGUUCAAUCCUCCGCACCACAA
Non-coding RNA from Ictidomys tridecemlineatus (thirteen-lined ground squirrel), 72 nucleotides. NCBI's taxonomy places the organism in Eukaryota, Metazoa, Chordata, Mammalia, Rodentia, Sciuridae. The record is from Rfam.